This 73-nucleotide transfer RNA is filed under the name Schizocladia ischiensis. Its description in RNAcentral is "tRNA-Trp". It matches the Rfam family "tRNA". From Rfam's summary of the family: Transfer RNA (tRNA) molecules are approximately 80 nucleotides in length. Their secondary structure includes four short double-helical elements and three loops (D, anti-codon, and T loops). Further hydrogen bonds mediate the characteristic L-shaped molecular structure. tRNAs have two regions of fundamental functional importance: the anti-codon, which is responsible for specific mRNA codon recognition, and the 3' end, to which the tRNAs corresponding amino acid is attached (by aminoacyl-tRNA synthetases). tRNAs cope with the degeneracy of the genetic code in two manners: having more than one tRNA (with a specific anti-codon) for a particular amino acid; and 'wobble' base-pairing, i.e. permitting non-standard base-pairing at the 3rd anti-codon position. The record is from RNAcentral. Lineage: Eukaryota; Schizocladiophyceae; Schizocladiales; Schizocladiaceae.
GCGUCCUUAGUUCAGUUGGUAGAACGUAGGUCUCCAAAACCUAAUGUCGAGGGUUCAAAUCCUUCAGGACGUG